CAAAUUUGGGAGGGGCCUGCGGUCGAUUAGCUGGUUGGUGGGGACAAAGGCCUACCAAGGCGAUGAUCGAUAGCUGUUCUGAGAGGAAGACCAGCCACACGGGAACUGAGACACGGUUCCGACUCCUACGGGGGGCAGCAGUGAGGAAUAUUGCGCAAUGGGGGCAACCCUGACGCAGCAACGCCGCGUGGAGGACGAAGGUUUUCGGAUUGUAAACUCCUUAUCUGGGGGAAGAGGAAGGACGGUACCCCAGGACGAAGACACGGCUAACUAGGUGCCAGCAGCCGCGGUAAUACCUAGGUGUCGAGCGUUAUCCGGAAUUACUGGGCGUAAAGGGUGCGCAGGCGGCGAUACAAGUCUGGCGUGAAAGCUUCUGGCUUAACUGGGAGAGGACGUUAGAAAACUGUAUGGCUAGAGUGAAUGAGAGGGGGGCGGAAAUCCCGGUGUAAGUGGUGGAAUGCGUAGAUAUCGGGAAGAACACCAGAGGCGAAGCGGCCUCUUGGCAUUUUACUGACGCUGAGG
This 522-nucleotide ribosomal RNA is filed under the name uncultured bacterium. Its description in RNAcentral is "bacterial SSU rRNA". It matches the Rfam family "Bacterial small subunit ribosomal RNA", at positions 215 to 751 of the family's 1533-position model. The record is from RNAcentral.